This 70-nucleotide transfer RNA is filed under the name Antrostomus carolinensis (chuck-will's-widow). RNAcentral's name for it is "tRNA-Trp". It matches the Rfam family "tRNA". From Rfam's summary of the family: Transfer RNA (tRNA) molecules are approximately 80 nucleotides in length. Their secondary structure includes four short double-helical elements and three loops (D, anti-codon, and T loops). Lineage: Eukaryota; Metazoa; Chordata; Aves; Caprimulgiformes; Caprimulgidae. The record is from RNAcentral.
AGAAACUUAGGUUAAUCUAAACCAAAAGCCUUCAAAGCCUUAAAUAAGAGUUAAACCCUCUUAGUUUCUG